CUCAAUGUCACUUGUCACUUAGAUUUGAGAGUCCAGGAGUCCAGAGACCCCAGUCAGCAGUCCCUCCAUGCAUGAUCCCCACACUUGAUUUUCUGAUAACCCAGGAGAGGAAAGAAGGAGAAGAGACAUUGCUUUUGACUUUCAGGGAGAAAGCAAACAGCUUAUACAUUCUCCAUCCACCUGGAGGAGGGGCACUGGGCAGUGGCACAAUGGGUUAAGUGCACAUGGUGCGAAGCUCAAGGACCAGCUCAAGAAUCCCAGUUCAAGCCCUCAGCUUCCCACCUGCAGGGGGGUCACUUCAUAAGAGUCACCAGGUUCCAGAUGCCAUCAGGAUGCUGGCCAGGCUUCCCUGGACUGAAGACCCCACCAAUGUGUCCUGGAGCUCCGCUUCCCCAGAGACACACCCUGUUAGGGAAAGAGAGAGGCAGACUGGGAGUAUGGACCGACCAGUCAACGCCCAUGUUCAGCGGGGAAGCAAUUACAGAAGCCAGACCUUCUACCUUCUGCAACCCACAAUGACCCUGGGUCCAUGCUCCCAGAGGGAUGGAGAAUGGGAAAGCUAUCAGGGGAGG
Molecule: long non-coding RNA, 572 nt
Organism: Erinaceus europaeus (western European hedgehog)
Lineage: Eukaryota; Metazoa; Chordata; Mammalia; Eulipotyphla; Erinaceidae
Exons: 4
Source: RefSeq, a predicted model, not a curated record